RNAcentral lists this ribosomal RNA (549 nucleotides) under uncultured Glomeromycotina. RNAcentral describes it as "SSU rRNA". It matches the Rfam family "Eukaryotic small subunit ribosomal RNA", at positions 548 to 1098 of the family's 1831-position model. The record is from RNAcentral. Lineage: Eukaryota; Fungi; Glomeromycota.
UUGGAGGGCAAGUCUGGUGCCAGCAGCCGCGGUAAUUCCAGCUCCAAUAGCGUAUAUUAAAGUUGUUGCAGUUAAAAAGCUCGUAGUUGAAUUUCGGGAUCAAUUUAUCGGUCGUGCCUCUGGUAUGCACUGGUAUUAUUGAUUUCUACCUUCUGACGAACCAUGAUGUCAUUUAUUUGGUGUCAUGGGGAAUCAGGACUGUUACUUUGAAAAAAUUAGAGUGUUUAAAGCAAGCACACGCUUGAAUACAUUAGCAUGGAAUAAUGAAAUAGGACGUUUGACCCUAUUUUGUUGGUUUCUAGGAUCGACGUAAUGAUUAAUAGGGAUAGUUGGGGGCAUUAGUAUUCAAUUGUCAGAGGUGGAAUUCUUGGAUUUAUUGAAGACUAACUACUGCGAAAGCAUUUGCCAAGGAUGUUUUCGUUAAUCAAGAACGAAAGUUAGGGGAUCGAAGACGAUCAGAUACCGUCGUAGUCUUAACCAUAGACUAUGCCGACUAGGGAUCGGAUGAUGUUAAUUUUUUAAUGACUCAUUCGGCGCCUUACGGGAAAC